AAUCUGUGUUCCAUUAAACGUGCUGGUGAUAGGUGCUUGUAAAAAAUAGGUGCGGUUUUUAGGGCGAAGGACAUUUGUCCCAGUUUGGAGGAAAUGUUACUCCACACUUUCAUUCAAGACGCGCUGCCUUGCAAUCUGUUCCUAGCUCAUAAAGGCAGGUCUUAAGAUGUACUACACCGCGCAACUCAUAUAAAUAGUAUCUACUCAGGACCUGCUGGCGGUCUAUUUCGCCAACAAGGCCUACAAAGUCUUGUGCAAACUUCGAAUGGCAACGCUUCAGGAUGGGAGAUCUGAGCAGUGCCGCCGUUCCUUUGAGAUGGCUCUGGAGCCAACAGUCGAUGUCAGAAUGCCCUACUUGGAAGGGUCAUUCUGAUACUGAAUCAACGCGACCCACGUCUCUAUAGGGAGGGUUUAAGUCUUCUCAAUGCGGCCUAUAAGCUUGAUGAACCCCAUCCAGUAGUUUUAAGUAUUCUUGCGACCUGCCACUAUUUCAUUGGAGAUCUGGUGAUCUGGUCUUUAAUCUGGCUCAAAUUCGCAUUGGCUUCAUCGAAAUUGCGCAGCUGCAACCGCAUAGUUGCUGUAAGGUGGCCAGAGUCACCAUGCAAGUGAGGAAUUCGACUUCGCCAGGACAUACUAUCAGGAUUCGGUAAGUUUCGCACUUGAAAGCUUCCACGAGGCUAAAGAGACGAAAAUUCGGCGGCUAUGAAGUUGUAGUGCCCUACAAGUCCAUUAUCGCCGAAUAUCUGAGCUAUUAUGACUGCCUGAUAUCCAGCUCACAGACAACAAUAACAUUGCAGCCAGGACCUAUUUGGGAAGCUGAAGCUUACCAAAAAGUCCUUCUCUAUCUUCGAUGUGAUCCUGGGUAGCUCGGGAAGUACGCCCAGAUGGCUUCAUCUAAGAACAAGACAGAAAAGCGCGACAUCAGGAAAAUGCCUUGAAC
Molecule: non-coding RNA, 940 nt
Organism: Drosophila suzukii
Lineage: Eukaryota; Metazoa; Arthropoda; Insecta; Diptera; Drosophilidae
Source: RefSeq, a predicted model, not a curated record